UACGGUAUUGAAGGUCGCUAUGCCACA
This 27-nucleotide non-coding RNA is filed under the name Homo sapiens (human). The record is from RNAcentral. Lineage: Eukaryota; Metazoa; Chordata; Mammalia; Primates; Hominidae.